GGAAGAAGCUCCGCGUUUUUAAGUUUGAAGUUAUGUGUGAAACUGAGUGCGGAAGACGAAAAGCUGGAGGAAUUUCUGAAGGAAAACGAAUGUGAAGACAUUCGUGAAUACCUUAAAGAUGCUCAAAUAAGAUAUAGUGAUUUAAAAUAUAUCAUAACGGAAGAAAAUUUAAGGGAAGCUGUGCCUCCGUUGGGACCCCGCCUGAGGUUUCGGGAGAAGCUGUUAUCAUGGAGGAAGGCAGAGAAGUGCGGUCCACUCAAGUAUUUAUGGAGUAUGCGUUUUGUAUAUUUAUUCGUAUAUUUAUUACCUUUCCAAUACAUGUAUAUACUGUAAACAAUUCAAAGUCGUAUAUAAGACUAAAAUAUGUUUAAGAUCCAAAACAUAUCCCUAAUACAA
Long non-coding RNA from Drosophila gunungcola (fruit fly), 396 nucleotides. RefSeq lists it as uncharacterized. The transcript has 3 exons. The record is from RefSeq and is a predicted model, not a curated record. Lineage: Eukaryota; Metazoa; Arthropoda; Insecta; Diptera; Drosophilidae.